UGCCCGGGAUAAUUUCUGGAAACGGAAACUAAAACCGGAUAGGUAAUAGAGAAGCAUUUCUGUAUUAUUAAAGAAGCCUCAAAGCUUUGAACAUGGAUGGACCUGCGGUGCAUUAGCUAGUUGGUAAGGUAACGGCCUACCAAGGCGACGAUGCAUAGCCGACCUGAGAGGGCGAACGGCCACAUUGGGACUGAGACACGGCCCAAACUCCUACGGGAGGCAGCAGUAGGGAAUUUUCGUCACUGGGGGGAACCCUGAACGAGCAAUGCCGCGUGAGUGAAGACGGUCUUCGGAUUGUAAAGCUCUGUUGUGAGAGAAAAAGGAUAUAUAUAGGAAAUGAUAUGUAUUUGAUGGUAUCUCACCAGAAAGUCACGGCUAACUACGUGCCAGCAGCCGCGGUAAUACGUAGGUGGCGAGCGUUAUCCGGAAUGAUUGGGCGUAAAGGGUACGUAGGCGGCAUGAUAAGUCUGGAGUGAAAGGCUACAGCUCAACUGUAGUAUGCUCUGGAAACUGUCAAGCUAGAGUGCAGAAGAGGGCAAUGGAACUCCAUGUGUAGCGGUAAAAUGCGUAGAUAUAUGGAAGAACACCGGUGGCGAAGGCGGUUGCCUGGUCUGAAAUUGACGUUGAAGUAGGAAAGCGUGU
RNAcentral lists this ribosomal RNA (642 nucleotides) under uncultured Bacillota bacterium. RNAcentral's name for it is "bacterial SSU rRNA". It matches the Rfam family "Bacterial small subunit ribosomal RNA", at positions 135 to 764 of the family's 1533-position model. The record is from RNAcentral. Lineage: Bacteria; Bacillati; Bacillota.